This 23-nucleotide microRNA is filed under the name Mus musculus (house mouse). RNAcentral's name for it is "mmu-miR-6996-3p". The record is from miRBase by way of RNAcentral. Lineage: Eukaryota; Metazoa; Chordata; Mammalia; Rodentia; Muridae.
CGGUGUCUCUGGUCACUCUGCAG